Molecule: long non-coding RNA, 2361 nt
Organism: Hypomesus transpacificus
Lineage: Eukaryota; Metazoa; Chordata; Actinopteri; Osmeriformes; Osmeridae
Exons: 2
Source: RefSeq, a predicted model, not a curated record
GACACAAAUGGUGGUGUUGACCUUUGAUCAGACGCUUGCUGUCUGACCUGACUUUUCCUCUGGGGCCUGGGCCUUUUGACCUGGAUGGUUGUAGGUUCAAAUUCUUUCGAGGGAACACUGUUUACUCUGCCUCUGUGAAAGCUUCAGAGUGUCCUCUGUGAUUGUGGGCUGGGUUAUGGGAUGUUGAUAGAAGUGGUGUCUAAAUGAAAAUGAAACUGUGGGGACUCAGACUCGGAGGUUUAAAGGUCUCUUACUGCUGCCUACCAUGGCCUUGUCCAUGGCUAAGCAGAAGGAAUUAUCAGAGGAUGAUUCACGAUGGUUACGCCAAUAACAGGCUGCAUGACUUUGCUGGUAAUUAAUGAAAGUGCAUUACAGGAGGACAUUCAAUCAAGAGCGAAAUAAUGGAGUGGUAGUAAUUUGAAGUGUCACAUUUGGCCACAUGGAUUGACCAUACACUCUUAAGACCAUGCCCAUUUUAGCACUGUUAAUGUAGAAGUUGCCUUCCACUUUGUUUGAUAUUUCAUCAUAACAAAUCUUCUGUUUAAUUUAGGGUGGAAUAAUCCACAUAAAAACAGGAAUGUAAACUAACCAACCGUUCAAUCAUGACUGAUGGAAAGCUAGGACAAUUUAAUUAAUUUUGGGGAAACUACUUUAGCAUCUGUAGAAAUUAUUUUGGAAUUGUGUCAACUCUGAGCUUAAGAGCUAGCACUUAGGAGGCAGGCUCUUCACAGCGGAAGUGAAAGCUCUGAAAGACAAAUCCCUCAAAAGGUACAGUAUAAAGUGCUUCUUACUGCAUAAUGCAAAACUCCAACCUCUGCUUGAGAAAAUCACCCAUCUGUUUAAACUAUUUGCAAUAACUGCCUCUAGACUCCCGAACAUGAUAUUAUUCACAACCCUGAUGGACCACCAGAAAGAGAUAAUAGUUAGUUACAGGUCUUUUGGCGAUGACCCGGGCGAUGAUAUGGGAAAAAAUAAUCACACACAUGAUGAAAGCUAUGAGCUACACUGUAGAGCAUAUACCCCCAUCUAUUAUCCAUGAGCUGAUGUUCAUCUUGCUAAACUAGGCUGAGCCAGUUCUAUCCCCCUCUGCAGCAUGCCAGAACGGCUCCUCCUGUUAACUGCCUGCACAUCCCUCUCUCCUUCCCUCUACACUGCAGACCUAUACUCGCUCUCUCUCACACAUCCCCUUUCUCCCCUCAUUUAUACAUCUGCCUUCCCUACUCAGUUUCACACUCCUCUGUAUGUCACUAUUCCUCUCCCUCUCCUCUGCCUCUCCUGUGCCUCUGCCUCUCCUCUGCCUUUCCCUCUCCUCUUCCUCUCUCUGCCUCUCCUCUCGCUCUGCCUCUCCCUUUCCCUCUCCUCUUCCUCUCUCUGCCUCUCCUCUGCCUCUCCCUCUGCCUCUCCCUCUCCUCUUCCUCUCUCUGCCUAUCCUCCGCACCCCUCGACUAGUGUCCCAUGAUGAGUUAGGUAACAGUGCUGAAAUCAGAGCCAGGAGGAACAACAAGCCCAGAGGUUGAAUUAUUAACUGGUGCAGGAAGCUGGACUGCUAUUAAGCAGAUCAGGAGGUGACUGUAAGAGCUCAACCCUGUGGUGCACUCAAGCGGCACGCUGUGAAUGGAACUAUGAGGGUAAUCAUUUCCCUGGUCAAACUGGUUUGUCUUCCAUGCUAGAGUUGUCUAACAACAGACAGUUGAACAGAUCCCCUGCCGUCAGCAUGGCAGGUCUCUGUUCAGGUCCUGCCUCUCUAAGUUAACCUGUCACAAUGAGUGACAUGUGAUCAUCCUAAUGGAUAGCAGCAGAGCUUCUAACAUACUAUAUUAUGAUGCAGUAACUACUGGACAGUGUGACUGGGCUGCUGAGCAAGAACUUCCCUGAGGAGGGAUGGAGAGAGAGAGAGAGAGAUGAAAGAGCUAGAGAAAUGAGAGGCACCCUGUGCCCAUGGAUUACUGUGGCCUCUAUAAAUACUCAAGUCACGCCUAACCAGAGACUGCUGGCGGGGCGCAAAUUUACAUACAUUUGGAUGAGGACACACUGUUUAUAAAAAAGGCAUUGUCUAUUUAGCCCUUUCUCCCCUGUGUUCGGCACACUUGCGCGUCAGUAUUCAUUCAUCGAAGAUUAGAUUCAUUGAGGAACGCCACAGGGUGGGAAACGUGUAGAGCCAGUUCCUUAGCCGGCCAACUCACCCACUCCCAGCUGCUCUAGCCGGGCCUUGAACUCUGAUCGCUCCUCCAGAACGCGGAGCAGGUUGGUGGGUUCCAUGCGCUCCAGCUCCACCCUCCAGUAAACAAAGAUCUUGUGGUUGAAGCUCACAUAGACCAGGCAUGGGCUGUUCUUUCCAUCCUUGCAGGUGUACUGGCCUGA